RNAcentral lists this ribosomal RNA (858 nucleotides) under uncultured euryarchaeote. RNAcentral describes it as "bacterial SSU rRNA". It matches the Rfam family "Archaeal small subunit ribosomal RNA", at positions 1 to 879 of the family's 1478-position model. The record is from RNAcentral. Lineage: Archaea; Methanobacteriati; Methanobacteriota.
UUCCGGUUGAUCCUGCCGGAGGCGACCGCUUUGGGAGUUCGAUUAAGCCAUGCGAGUCGUGAGUCUUAGGGACUCGGCAUACUGCUCAGUAACACGUGGAUAACCUGCCCUAUCGUCUGGAAUAACCUCGGGAAACUGAGAAUAAGGCCGGAUAGUUCACAAUGCCUGGAACGGUUUGUGAAUCAAGGUAGGAUGGGUCUGCGGCGUAUCAGGUUGUAGGGGGUGUAAAGGACCCCCUAGCCUUCGACGCGUACGGGUGUUGGGAGACAUAGCCCGGAGAUGGAUUCUGAGACACGAAUCCAGACCCUACGGGGUGCAGCAGGCGCGAAAACUUCACACUGCAGGAAACUGUGAUGAGGGAACUCCUAGUGCAUGCACUAUGUGUAUGUAGAUCCUACUCUUAACAAGUAGAGGGAAAGGGCUGGGAAAGACCGGUGCCAGCCGCCGCGGUAAUACCGGCAGCUCAAGUGGUCGUCCCUUUUAUUGGGCCUAAAACGUCCGUAGCCUGUCUGGUAAAUCUGUGGGUAAAUCAAUCCGCUCAACGGAUUGAAUUCUGCAGAGACUGCCAGACUAGGGACCGGGAGAGGUGUGGGGUACUCGAGGGGUAGGGGUAAAAUCCUGUCAUCCUUCGAGGACCACCAGUUGCGAAGGCGCCACACUGGAACGGAUCCGACGGUCAGGGACGAAGCCUAGGGGCACGAACCGGAUUAGAUACCCGGGUAGUCCUAGGUGUAAACGCUGUGAACUUGGUGUCGGGGGUCCGCAAGGGGUCCCCGGUGCCGGAGUGAAGAUGUUAAGUUCACUGCCUGGGGAGUACGGUCGCAAGGCUGAAACUUAAAGGAAUUGGCGGGGCAGCAC